This 520-nucleotide long non-coding RNA is filed under the name Homo sapiens (human). RNAcentral describes it as "HSALNT0129018". Lineage: Eukaryota; Metazoa; Chordata; Mammalia; Primates; Hominidae. The record is from RNAcentral.
UCUGCUAAGGAAGGGUUUGAAGGCUGCAAAAAAUUGGAAGGAGGCAGAGGGAAGAAUGUUAAUCUAGAAGCUUUUGCAUAGCAAGCAGAAACUUCUAGAUUCAUUAGUAUUUAGAAUGUAUGCUUACCUGGUGCACCUUGUGGGUAACCAUAGAGAUUAUGGAUAGAAUAACGGGAAAGGAGAGAGGGAGAUGAUAGGGGACUACACUCAGAGGUGGUGAGAAAGACAGAAAAGGAGAGAUUUAAAGACGUGUAGGUGAGGAACUGAGUAGAUGGGCGAUAAUGCAUUAAUCAAGUUAAAGAACAACAGUCAAAAAGCCAAAACAGCAGAAAGUACAAGGAACAUCUGGUUUACUUGCCUCACUAGUCAUCGUGGUUGUCACAUUUGGACUGCACAGGAAGCAUUAUAGAGAGAUUAUAGAACCCGGCUGGUUCUUGGAUCCAACUGACUGUGUGUCUGUGUGUCUGGGAUUCCUUUUGGAUCCUGCUAUGCCAAAACUGGAUCAAAACGAACGCCAAGU